Molecule: ribosomal RNA, 251 nt
Filed under: uncultured bacterium
Lineage: Bacteria
Description: partial 16S ribosomal RNA
Rfam family: Bacterial small subunit ribosomal RNA
Source: RNAcentral
GCAAGUCGAGGGGUAACAUUGUAGCUUGCUACAGAUGACGACCGGCGAACGGGUGCGUAACGCGUAUAGAAUCUGCCUUGUACAGGAGGAUAGCCUUUAGAAAUGAAGAUUAACACUCCAUAAUGUUGCGAAUUGGCAUCAAUUUGUAAUUAAACAUUUAUGGGUACAAGAUGACUAUGCGUCCUAUUAGCUAGAUGGUAAGGUAACGGCUUACCAUGGCAACGAUAGGUAGGGGGUCUGAGAGGAUUAUC